This 64-nucleotide non-coding RNA is filed under the name Rhodococcoides fascians. RNAcentral also lists the same sequence under 1 other name. The record is from RNAcentral. Lineage: Bacteria; Bacillati; Actinomycetota; Actinomycetes; Mycobacteriales; Nocardiaceae.
UGCCAGUCUCUUCAUGACUAGCGGACGAGCGCACCGUACCCGGCCUGCGACAAGACGGUGCAUG